GUAAGCGCACGCCGACGCGCCAAAGGGGAGGAAUGCGCCGGGCGGAAAACUUAGGAAGAGCUGGAUGCCUCCCCCGGAGAGCGUCGUUUCCUAGUGCCCGGCUAGUGGAGUGGAGUGUAUAGGGGUAGACUUUUCACACAGGGGACAAAUUAUUGCACGAUAUUUGCACCCCCCGUUCCGAGUCACUCGGGCGCAUCGUUUACUUCAGCAGGUUCUCUGCAUCACGGACUCUUUUGAGGCUCAGGCCCUGCCCUACCAUGAGCUGAAGAGGCAGCAACAUACAUGUUUGGAGUUUAGCAGGGACUGAGAAGGGUGGAAAAGAACUGCCUAACCAAAGGAACCUCCACCUGACAACCUUCAUUAACCCAAAACAAAGGACCACAGUACCCUGUAUGGCCUGCAUUCCAUGGGAUGAGAUGGGGAUUCAUGCUUCUCAUAGAGAUGGCGUCCCGAUGUGUUGCCAUGGCUGGCCUUGAACUCCUGAACUCCAGUGAUCCUCCUGCCUUGGCCUCUCAAAGUGGUAGGAUUUCAGGCAUGAGCCACCAUGCCCAGCCGCCUUCUUCUUCUUCUUCUUCUUUUUUUUUUUUUGCAAUUUUAAGCAUAUAUAAUUAUUUUAUGAAUGUCUGACUUUCCUAUUAGAUGAUAAGUAUCAAGAGAAGAGGAACUAACCUCUGCAACUAGUGCAGUGUCUAACACAUACCGGGAACUCAAUAAAUACUUCUGGACUUAAUCAUAUUGACAUUAUUAUUAUUAUU
Molecule: long non-coding RNA, 755 nt
Organism: Callithrix jacchus (white-tufted-ear marmoset)
Lineage: Eukaryota; Metazoa; Chordata; Mammalia; Primates; Cebidae
Source: RefSeq, a predicted model, not a curated record